Molecule: long non-coding RNA, 494 nt
Organism: Zea mays
Lineage: Eukaryota; Viridiplantae; Streptophyta; Magnoliopsida; Poales; Poaceae
Exons: 2
Source: RefSeq, a predicted model, not a curated record
GUAGCCUAGACAACAGAUCAACAGAAGAUAAGAGAAGAGAAGAGACUGCUGUAAACGAACGGGUUGGGGGAGGCUCCAAGAAGAAGAAGAAGAAGACGACAGUUAACAGUUUGUGUUGUAGAAGCAAACCUUUGAAGUGGAUGUCGGUGUUCGCACGCCUGAACACCCCGCUGAUCAGGAGGAGGAGAGAGAUGUCUACUACUGCAAAAGAAUGGAGAUGCUAGCUAGAUGGAAGGCGAUCUGAAGAAAACCGGGGAUGGACUCCAUCCAGACUGCUUACGCAUUGUGUAAACGGCAUCGACUUGUAAUCGCUCCAUUCCAGAGCUUGGCCUUUGCCUUUUACCCCUCUGAUGCUGUCGUGCUCUUCCUGCAGAUCCAGCAAACGUCUGGAAUAAAUAUAUAUAUUUUUUUCCACAUGUUCGAAAGCAAGUUCUUGGCAUGUUGCUGUUGAUGGGGGUGAGAAGGAAUAAAGAAAGGCACUUUGUUUUAUGGAA